Molecule: ribosomal RNA, 492 nt
Filed under: uncultured bacterium
Lineage: Bacteria
Description: partial 16S ribosomal RNA
Rfam family: Bacterial small subunit ribosomal RNA
Source: RNAcentral
AGUGAACGCUGGCGGUAGGCCUAACACAUGCAAGUCGAACGGCAGCACAGUAAGAGCUUGCUCUUACGGGUGACGAGUGGCGGACGGGUGAGGAAUACAUCGGAAUCUACUUUUUCGUGGGGGAUAACGUAGGGAAACUUACGCUAAUACCGCAUACGACCUACGGGUGAAAGCAGGGGAUCUUCGGACCUUGCGCGAUUGAAUGAGCCGAUGUCGGAUUAGCUAGUUGGCGGAGUAAAGGCCCACCAAGGCGACGAUCCGUAGCUGGUCUGAGAGGAUGAUCAGCCACACUGGAACUGAGACACGGUCCAGACUCCUACGGGAGGCAGCAGUGGGGAAUAUUGGACAAUGGGCGCAAGCCUGAUCCAGCCAUACCGCGUGGGUGAAGAAGGCCUUCGGGUUGUAAAGCCCUUUUGUUGGGAAAGAAAAGCAGCAGGUUAAUACCCCGCUGUUCUGACGGUACCCAAAGAAUAAGCACCGGCUAACUUCGUG